UUUAAUUGAAUGAUAUAAUAUUUUAUAUUAUAUUUUAAUAGUCCUAACCAAGAUUUGUGCCAGCAGCUGCGGUAAUACAAUGAGGGCUAGCGUUAAUCAUAAUGGUUUAAAGUAUCCGUAGAAUGAUAAAAUWUUAUUAGAGUUAAUAAAUUUAAUUAAAGAAUUAUGAUAGUAAAGAUGAAAUAAUAAUGAUAAUCAUAAGACUGGUAURUGUGAAAAUAUUAAUUAAAUAUUAACUGACAUUGAGGGAUGAAAGCUAGAGUAGCAAUAUGGAUUCGAUACCCAAGUAGUUCUAGCAGUAAACUAUGAACACCAUAAUUUAUACAUAAUAUAAAUUAUAAACGAAAGUGUAAGUGUUCCACCUGAAGAGUACUUUCGCAAGAAUGAAACUCAAGACAAUAGACGGUUACAGACUUAAGCAGU
Molecule: ribosomal RNA, 423 nt
Filed under: Zygosaccharomyces parabailii
Lineage: Eukaryota; Fungi; Ascomycota; Saccharomycetes; Saccharomycetales; Saccharomycetaceae
Also listed under: 1 other name
Description: SSU rRNA
Rfam family: Bacterial small subunit ribosomal RNA
Source: RNAcentral